CCUACGGGAGGCAGCAGUGAGGAAUAUUGGUCAAUGGACGAGAGUCUGAACCAGCCAAGUAGCGUGAAGGAUGACUGCCCUAUGGGUUGUAAACUUCUUUUAUAUGGGAAUAAAAUGUUCCACGUGUGGGAUUUUGUAUGUACCAUAUGAAUAAGGAUCGGCCAACUCCGUGCCAGCAGCCGCGGUAAUACGGAGGAUCCGAGCGUUAUCCGGAUUUAUUGGGUUUAAAGGGAGCGUAGGUGGAUUGUUAAGUCAGUUGUGAAAGUUUGCGGCUCAACCGUAAAAUUGCAGUUGAAACUGGCAGUCUUGAGUACAGUAGAGGUGGGCGGAAUUCGUGGUGUAGCGGUGAAAUGCUUAGAUAUCACGAAGAACUCCGAUUGCGAAGGCAGUUCACUGGACUGCAACUGACACUGAGGCUCGAAAGUGUGGGUAUCAAACAGGAUUAGAUACCCGUGUAGUC
Molecule: ribosomal RNA, 460 nt
Filed under: uncultured bacterium
Lineage: Bacteria
Description: partial 16S ribosomal RNA
Rfam family: Bacterial small subunit ribosomal RNA
Source: RNAcentral